GAUGAACGCUAGCUACAGGCUUAACACAUGCAAGUCGAGGGGAAACGAUAUUGGAAGCUUGCUUCCGAUAGGCGUCGACCGGCGCACGGGUGAGUAACGCGUAUCCAACCUGCCCACCACUUGGGGAUAACCUUGCGAAAGUAAGACUAAUACCCAAUGACGUCCAUAGAAGACAUCUGAAAUGGAUUAAAGAUUUCUCGGUGAUGGAUGGGGAUGCGUCUGAGUAGCUUGUUGGCGGGGUAACGGCCCACCAAGGCGACGAACAGUAGGGGUUCUGAGAGGAAGGUCCCCCACAUUGGAACUGAGACACGGUUCAAACUCCUACGUGAGGCAGCAGUGAGGAAUAUUGGUCAAUGGGCGAGAGCCUGAACCAGCCAAGUAGCGUGCAGGAUGACGGCCCUAUGGGUUGUAAACUGCUUUUAUAAGGGAAUAAAGUGAGCCUCGUGAGGCUUUUUGCAUGUACCUUAUGAAUAAGGACCGGCUAAUUCCGUGCCAGCAGCCGCCGUAA
RNAcentral lists this ribosomal RNA (508 nucleotides) under uncultured bacterium. RNAcentral's name for it is "partial 16S ribosomal RNA". It matches the Rfam family "Bacterial small subunit ribosomal RNA", at positions 28 to 523 of the family's 1533-position model. The record is from RNAcentral.